Small nucleolar RNA from Emys orbicularis (European pond turtle), 214 nucleotides. RefSeq annotates it as small nucleolar RNA U3. The transcript has a single exon. The record is from RefSeq and is a predicted model, not a curated record. NCBI's taxonomy places the organism in Eukaryota, Metazoa, Chordata, Testudines, Emydidae.
AAGGCUAUGCUUUUAGGGAUUGUUUCUCUAGUUGGUGAUUGGAGAAGGGUAGAUUUAAAAGCCUGGCCUUGCUAACCACAAUGAGGAACUGUAGUGUUUCUUUCUGAGCAUGACAAUAGCAGAAAAUGCUGUUCUAUGACUGCUGCUUUUUGCUGUGGAAGAGUGUCUUGCUUUUCCACAAAAGAGCAGAGGAAAGAAACAUAGUCUGAGUGGU